Molecule: unclassified non-coding RNA, 334 nt
Filed under: soil metagenome
Description: partial contains 5.8S ribosomal RNA, internal transcribed spacer 2, and large subunit ribosomal RNA
Rfam family: 5.8S ribosomal RNA (bases 1-120)
Source: RNAcentral
GAUGAAGAACGUAGCGAAAUGCGAUAAGUAAUGCGAAUUGCAGAAUUCAGUGAAUCAUCGAAUCUUUGAACGCACAUUGCGCCCGCCAGUAUUCUGGCGGGCAUGCCUGUUCGAGCGUCAUUUCAACCAUCAAGCCCCAGGCUUGUGUUGGAGCCCUGCGGCUGCCGCAGCCUCCCAAAACCAGUGGCGGGCUCGCUAUCACACCGAGUGCAGUAGUUUACUCUUCGCUCAGGGCGUGUGGCGGGUGCUAGCCGUAAAACCCCCAACUUCUCAAGGUUGACCUCGGAUCAGGUAGGAAUACCCGCUGAACUUAAGCAUAUCAAUAAGCGGAGGA